AUCCCGUCCGCUGGAUGACCAAGGGUUCCGGGGCCACGUUCGUCGUCCCCGGGUGAGUCGGGUCCUAAGGCGAGGCCGACAGGCGUAGUCGAAUGGAUGAACGGGUGGAUAUUCCCGUACCGGCGGCGUACCGUAAGAGCCGAACGGAUGAGUACUAACCUCCGGUCGCGUGGCGUCGUUCCCUUCGGGGUUCGGGGCGCGUGGCUGUUGGGAGCGUAGUCCUGGUAGGCUAGCGCACAGGGGUGACACGGAAUGGGAGCCGGCCGCGGAGGUGGUUUUCCGUGGUCAAGCACGCAGCCCGUCCCAUAGGCAAAUCCGUGGGACGCAUAGGGUGAGGUGUGAUGAUGGGCGUCUUUUUGGCGCGAUAUCCGGUGGUCCAGGCCGUCGAGAAAAGCCUCGGCGCGAGGGGCGUCGCCGCCCGUACCCCAAACCGACACAGGUGGUCAGGUAGAGAAUACCAAGGCGAUCGAGCGAAUCCUGGUCAAGGAACUCGGCAAAUCACUCCCGUGCCUUCGGUAUAAGGGAGACCCCCGGGCGUGAAGAGGCUUGCCCUCGGAGCGUUGGGGGGUGGCACAGACCAGGGGGUAGCGACUGUUUACCAAAAACACAGGUGCAUGCGAAGGCGCAAGCAGCUGUAUAUGCACUGACGCCUGCCCGGUGCCGGAAGGUUAAGAGGAUCCGUCAGCCCCUUUUGGGGUGAAGCGGUGAAUUCAAGCCCCGGUAAACGGCGGUGGUAACUAUAACCAUCCUAAGGUAGCGAAAUUCCUUGUCGGGUAAGUUCCGACCUGCACGAAUGGCGUAACGACUUCCCCACUGUCUCGACCAGGAGCUCGGCGAAAUUGCAGUACGAGUAAAGAUGCUCGUUAAGCGCAGAAGGACGAAAAGACCCCGGGACCUUUACUAUACCUUGGUAUUGGCGUCAGGCGCGGAUUGUGUAGCAUAGGCGGGAGGCUUCGAAGCAUGGGCGCCAGCCCGUGUGGAGCCGCAAGGUGAAAUACCGCUCUGUUCUCGUUUGACGUCUAACCUCGAACAGUCAUCCUGUUCAGGGACAGUGCCUGGCGGGUAGUUUAACUGGGGCGGUUGCCUCCCAAAGAGUAACGGAGGCGCUCAAAGGUCCGCUCAGCCCGGUUGGCAAUCGGGUUUCGAGUGUAAUCGCACAAGCGGGCUUGACUGCGAGAACGACGGUUCGGGCAGGGACGAAAGUCGGAGAUAGUGAUCCGGUGCCGGCGCACGGGCGCGGCAUCGCUCAACGGAUAAAAGGUACCCCGGGGAUAACAGGCUGAUC
Molecule: ribosomal RNA, 1285 nt
Filed under: human gut metagenome
Description: bacterial LSU rRNA
Rfam family: Bacterial large subunit ribosomal RNA
Source: RNAcentral